This 372-nucleotide ribosomal RNA is filed under the name uncultured bacterium. Its description in RNAcentral is "bacterial SSU rRNA". It matches the Rfam family "Bacterial small subunit ribosomal RNA", at positions 796 to 1165 of the family's 1533-position model. The record is from RNAcentral.
CAUGCUGUAAACGAUGAGAACUGGCUAUUGGUAUCGCAAGGUAUCAGUCGCGAAGUUAACACGAUAAGUUCUCCGCCUGGGGAGUACGGCCGCAAGGUUGAAACUCAAAGGAAUUGACGGGGGCCCGCACAAGCGGUGGAGCAUGUGGUUUAAUUCGAUGCUACGCGAAAAACCUUAACCUACCCUUGACAUCCUGUGAACGUUCAAGAGAUUGGAUGGUGCCCGAAAGGGAGCAUAGAGACAGGUGCUGCAUGGCUGUCGCCAGCUCGUGUCGUGAGAUGUUGGGUUAAGUCCCGUAACGAGCGCAACCCUUGUGCUUAGUUGCCAGCUAGUAAAGUAGGGUACUCUAAGCAGGCUGCCAGUGAUAAGCUG